CCGAGAAAAAGAGAGAGAUUGCGCGGAAAGUACGAAGGUUUGAGAAAGGUGUUUGAAAGUCACUCAACAAAAUAU
This is a non-coding RNA of Nylanderia fulva, 75 nucleotides long. Lineage: Eukaryota; Metazoa; Arthropoda; Insecta; Hymenoptera; Formicidae. The record is from RefSeq and is a predicted model, not a curated record.